GCUGAUUGGCACAGGCCAACAGGGCAAGGCGCUCUGUUAUGGAUUGUUCCAUGGAACACUGCAUUUCCCCAGAUGGUGGCAAAUCUGUAAGCUCGUAGCUAUGCUCACUCCAAUUAUUAUCUACCCUAGGGAAGAUAGGUGGCAAAUUUGCUUGGAAUAAGUAGUUUCUUUCUUCCUCUUGUCUUUUUUCUUAAAAGAGCUUGGUCCUUCUGUCAGGACAGUAUAUUCUUUCUAUGUACCAUUUUUUAUGGGUCCAGAAGAAACUACUAAUGGGAGCAGGCUGGAUAACAAAAUCUACAUUGGAGCAGAAUUGGGGCAGCGUUGGAAGAAGAGAGUACUAUUUUUUUGAAAAUAUUUCUUUUAGCUGAAGCCAUGCUCCACCAAGGCUGUGGCUGUCACCUGUCCUGGAAGACAUCUCCUGGAGCAAGAGCUAGGCACAGCUGGAUCUGGCAGCUCUGGCAACAGGUUGGCAUGCUCCAAAGGCAGUUGCUUGAUGUGAACAGACUUACUCUGCAGUCUGUACUUGGAAUGGUUCCUGGCUGUGCUCAAUGCUUCUGGUUUCCAGGAUGAUCCUCACCACCCAGCCUAGGCACAGCAUUGGAAGAAAAACAUGGCUCUUCACAAUUCAACUCUGCAGGUGAAGUUUUAUUCCCCUUUCUCAGGAGGAAAAUUUUCAUUUCUCUGUCAACAAAUGUUCCACUCUGCUAGGCUGAUACUGGGGUUAGUCUGAUUUAACACAGAAUAUUAGAGGGAAAGAAAGAAAGAGAGAGAGAAAGAGAGAAAGAGCAAAGUUUGGCUGAGCAAAAAGUCACCUGGAUGAAAACCUUCAAGUGGUGCUUGGCCUUUAUCCAAAACUGUCACGGUUGCUGCAUUGCCUGGCUCCACUGCCUGGAAAGCCCUUGCAGGGGGAGCAGAGCAUGGGGCCUACAGGUCUGUGUGCUCUUUCUAUGAGAGGAGUCUGGUUAUGCAUUAGGUGGUGGCUUCUAUCCUUCUCUCAUCAGCACUGAGACCAAAGAUAUACUGUAUGCAUUUUCCAGCUUGAACAUGUGCUAAGCAAAGCACUUCCAUACCUCAGGUAUGCAUGUCUACCAUCCUCUCACACAGAACUGAUGGGUCCCCUCUGCCUUUUCCCAGCCUGAACCUUGGCACCUUGCCUGAACCUGCUAGGGGGAGAGCCAGGCACUUGUGGAGUUAGAGGCUUCAAAUGGCAGUGCUUCAAAGCUGUGGUAUGGGCUGGGACUUCCAUGAGUCCCUGCUUACAACAGCUUGCCUUUCUCAGAAGUCCCCCUUUCCCCAUCCCAAAUAUCUUCUACAAGACGGCAAACU
RNAcentral lists this long non-coding RNA (1326 nucleotides) under Anser cygnoides (Swan goose). RNAcentral describes it as "lncRNA (ENSACDG00005010030.1)". Lineage: Eukaryota; Metazoa; Chordata; Aves; Anseriformes; Anatidae. The record is from RNAcentral.